ACUAGCAGGUAAGAGUUUGAUCAUGGCUCAGGACGAACGCUGGCGGUGUGCUUCACACAUGCAAGUCGAACGGUAGCAAUACAGUGGCGGACGGGUGAGUAACACGUGGGAAUCUGCCUUUAGAUGGGGGAUAGCAGGCCGAAAGGCCUAUUAAUACCGCAUAUGCCGAAAGGUGAAAGGAGCAAUCCGUCUGAAGAUGAGCCCGCGUCCGAUUAGCUAGUUGGUGGGGUAAAGGCCUACCAAGGCGACGAUCCUUAGCUGGUCUGAGAGGAUGAUCAGCCACACUGGGACUGAGACACGGCCCAGACUCCUACGGGAGGCAGCAGUGGGGAAUUUUGGACAAUGGGCGAAAGCCUGAUCCAGCGAUGCCGCGUGGGUGAAGAAGGCCUUCGGGUUGUAAAGCCCUUUCGGCAGGGAAGAAAAGUCCGGAGCUAAUACCUCCGGGUCUUGACGUUACCUGCGGAAGAAGCACCGGCUAACUCCGUGCCAGCAGCCGCGGUAAUAC
RNAcentral lists this ribosomal RNA (505 nucleotides) under uncultured bacterium. Its description in RNAcentral is "bacterial SSU rRNA". It matches the Rfam family "Bacterial small subunit ribosomal RNA", at positions 1 to 526 of the family's 1533-position model. The record is from RNAcentral.